Molecule: ribosomal RNA, 562 nt
Filed under: uncultured bacterium
Lineage: Bacteria
Description: bacterial SSU rRNA
Rfam family: Bacterial small subunit ribosomal RNA
Source: RNAcentral
UCCUACGGGAGGCAGCAGUAGGGAAUCUUCCGCAAUGGACGCAAGUCUGACGGAGCAACGCCGCGUGAGUGACGAAGGUUUUCGGAUCGUAAAACUCUGUUGUGAGGGAAGAACAAGUGCCAACUAACUACUGGCACCUUGACGGUACCUCACCAGAAAGCCACGGCUAACUACGUGCCAGCAGCCGCGGUAAUACGUAGGUGGCAAGCGUUGUCCGGAAUUAUUGGGCGUAAAGCGCGCGCAGGCGGUCCCUUAAGUCUGAUGUGAAAGCCCACGGCUCAACCGUGGAGGGUCAUUGGAAACUGGGGGACUUGAGUGCAGAAGAGGAAAGUGGAAUUCCAUGUGUAGCGGUGAAAUGCGUAGAGAUGUGGAGGAACACCAGUGGCGAAGGCGACUUUCUGGUCUGUAACUGACGCUGAGGCGCGAAAGCGUGGGGAGCAAACAGGAUUAGAUACCCUGGUAGUCCACGCCGUAAACGAUGAGUGCUAAGUGUUAGGGGGUUUCCGCCCCUUAGUGCUGCAGCUAACGCAUUAAGCACUCCGCCUGGGGAGUACGGGCCGCA